GAUGAACGCUGGCGGCGUGCUUAACACAUGCAAGUCGAACGAAGCACUUUGAAACAAUCCCUCGGGUGCGUUUCUUUGUGACUUAGUGGCGGACGGGUGAGUAACGCGUGAGCAAUCUGCCCUUCAGUGGGGGACAACGGUUGGAAACGACCGCUAAUACCGCAUAACGUAGUGAGAUCGCAUGGUACAGUGUGAAAAGAUUUAUCAGCAUGAGAUGGACCCGCGUCUGAUUAGCUAGUUGGUGAGGUAACGGCUCACCAAGGCGACGAUCAGUAGCCGACUUGAGAGAGUGAUCGGCCACAUUGGGACUGAGACACGGCCCAAACGUCCUACGGGAGCAGCAGUGGGGAAUAUUGCACAAUGGGGGAAACCCUGAUGCAGCAACG
This 386-nucleotide ribosomal RNA is filed under the name uncultured bacterium. RNAcentral describes it as "bacterial SSU rRNA". It matches the Rfam family "Bacterial small subunit ribosomal RNA", at positions 28 to 396 of the family's 1533-position model. The record is from RNAcentral.